GAUAAAAGACACAGACCUAACAUGUACAUGUGUACAGGCCAAUAAAGCGACGACCGUCCUUGGCAUACCGGCGGUUUCUUUGCUCGAUAGGGUUUCUACCUCCCGGCGUUCCUUUGAUCGUUCAGCGAUCGAUCUCGUUCUUUUCCCCGUCGGCGGUUUUUCUUAUCGUGAGGGUUUUUUUCUUCGCGUCGUUUCGUUGAUCAUUCAGCGUUCUCGUUCGCCUUGGAUUGCAGGAUAUGUACUCCCGGAAGCCGAAGGAGGAUGGAUGGCGCCCCUGGAGUGCUUUCAAGGGCCCUUAGACCGACGAGGAGUUAAAUUUUUACCGAUUAGACUAAUGUAACAUCGGAUUCAACCAUCAACGGUGCCGUAUGGUUUGCUCUAGGGUUCGACGUUACGGUUCUUGAUUGGAGCUGCAACCUAACGCAGUUUUCAGCAAGAGUUCGAAGUUUUGGUGCCAAAGUGGGGUGGGGUUGGAGGGGCCAAACGAGGAUUACAUCCCAUUUUUGGCAUGUGGGGGACUUGGGCCCCCAAGUUCUUCAGAGGGUCGGUGUUACAAGCCUUUGGUUCCUGUACAGCCUUUGACAGCGCCGCCUUCACAUUGACAAGCUCUUUCUUAAUUCUGGUAUGUAACCUCUCUCACUUUCUUUCCUGGAUAAUGGAAGUAGGUUCAGUAGCAUUGUUAAAUUUUUGUGCAUCUGCUCCUGACCACUGAAGCAGUAAAAAGUUGCAAACGUAGAGUUUUGGGCACAGCCUAAAUGCAUGGUGCCAAUGGGAAUCGAACGAGUAAGUUCUCAGGCUUCAAUUUUUUUCUGUCAUCAAUUUAUUGAUUGUUUCCGGUUUCCACAUCGAAAGAUAAAGGAGGAAAAAAAAAAGUGUUAUUUUCUGCAGUGUUAGUAAUCGAUUCCUGGGAGAUUGAGAACUCAGGAGUCGUGGAAGAACAAAAUGGUAGAACUGCUGUUUAUAGAGUGAGAAGGCGGAUUGGGGGUAUACUUUGUGGUAUAAAAGAGCAAACAGAAAAUUGCUGGUUCAGCUGUAGUAAAUCGUGGAGUUUGCAUGGCGAGUCUAGCACGACCUCCUCGACGAGGAGUUGAGGAACUUGAUGCAGUCUUCGAUGGCCUCCGACAGGUGAGUCUCUUCAGGAGCAGCGAACCUCUGUGGAGUCAUGCUGGAAGAAACCUUGGACGGUGGCUGCCGCCGGCUUCCGGAGAUGAAGUCUAAGGCCCUCGACGUUUUGCGGAAGAAUCGUAUAGCUGAGAGGCGUGCGCUGUUGAGUAGCCGAGAUGAGAAGCCCCUGCGUCCGCGAUCCUCCUCCUGAUCCCCGAAAUGGAUGUCGGACGUUCGAGAGACCGUCGGCUUCGCAUGGAUAUUGCUGUCGAGGCUGAAGCCGACGCUCCUCUCGCUCUUGUUCAACAUAUGAUCUGGCGUCCAAGAACGGACUUGCCGUAGGAGGGCAGGCGGCGAGACAUUUAUGGCGAGGCUUCCGCACUGUGCCAAGAGAACACCAAAGGGAAAGGGAAAAAAGAGAGCGUUGAAGAGACUACAGAGAAGGAAGUGGGUUGGACUGUCAGUGAGCAGACGGUGCCUGCCUGCCUGCUCGCUUGAUGGAAGAGACUGGCAUCAGUGGUGGACUAAAAGUGGGCGUCGUUGUGGAACACUGACUGGGCUGGUAUAUACUUGGAGUCAUGCUUUGGUCGAUGGCACGAGAAUCUUAUCAGCCUAGAAGCAAGCGAAAGCCCAAAGCCCCCAGAGGAGAAGGGGACGGUCAGAGAGGAAAGGGUCGUGAUACUUUCACGAGACGAUCUCAUUUCUUUUGAGGUGCGCACCCGCCCCAUUCCCCUCCCCCUCUUCUUUCUGAAAUGGCGUGCAUCGAUUUCAAAGCUUCCAUGGUGCGAGAGCGCUUUGGGUCCAUGGGCAAGACAAUCAUUUUGCCGGGGCUUACUGCAUAAAGCCUUGUGAGUUUCUUACUACAUGCAGUUUAACGUACGGUAUGAUGAAUCGGAUCCAUCUCGCGUUCGUACAUCAUCAGUGUCUCGAGCAUGAUGGGGGUACGUACCUGUUACGAAACACAGAUGUGCCUGUGUAUGAGAGUCAUGUUAAGCAGAUCAAAUCCCAACGGGUUAGGCCCAUGUGGUCGAACAUCUGAUCAUAGGGGAGGUUAUCGGUCGGAUUUCUCUACUUUUUUUCUCUUUGGUUCAGUGUCGAGUGUCGAUGUUGGACUGGGUGUUUGACCAUGUGGGUACGAGGAGCAGGCAUAAAGAAAACGGAUGGGUUACAUCAGGUAUCUGAAAAAGGGGGAGGAAAAGAAAACUCAUUAAUAUGACUAGUGAUUAAAAACAAAAAUACUAGUAUGACUAGGGAGAUCAUGAAAUUGUUUCGUUUCGUUAUGUGACUAGGGAGGUCAUCAACAUCUAUCUAUAUAGUUGACGCCAACUGAACUGACACAAGGUUAUUUGUUAUUAUCAUUGAUCUUCUACUAGGAUGAUUUGGGGAGCUGAAGUACAUGGUUGUUCUACGAAUUGUAUUCCUCCUUUUAUAAGUUUGAUUCAUGUAUUCCUUCAUUCACAUGCGGUGUUUAAUAAUCAAUUGCUUUUUGUUCUCUAAUGGCAUCUUGGCCAUGGCCAUGCGCAUUGAUGGUAUCUAUUGCUUUUCCCUGUAAAAUUUUUUACAUAAUUUUCUCAUUGGACUAAGUAAGGAUUUCUUGUUUAAAAAAAAAAAAAAGGGAGAACGAGCUGUAUAUUUCGCUUUGUUGUCAAAUAAAAAAGGUCACAAAGUGGGCUCCGCACUUCCAACGGAGCGAGUCACCCGUGAUAUCCCCUCGGCGCAUUAUUUAAUGCCUAACGACCUUUGCCGCCGCCUCUGGCAUAUUUAAAAUCAAAUGUGCGCGCGUCGCAUAAUACGCGUACAACAAGCUAGUUUAGAGAACGGAACAUCGAAAGAGGCAGGUCGUGUGUCCGAACGAGUGUAGGCUGAAAGAGAGAGAGAGAGAGAGAGAGAGAGAGAGAGCGGGUAUAACAUAACAUGUAUCGAGAGAUGCCGACGCCGUCUCCAAACCCCGUCGCCUGGCUCUCUCGGGCGAAACUCCUCCUCCUUGCGCGUCAGUUUUUUCUCCCUUUUCUAUGUGGGUUUCUUGGAUUUCCGUUCUUGCUUUCGUUCCUCUCUCUCUCUCUCUCUCUCUCUCUCUCUCUCGCUCGCUCGCUCGAGCCUACUUGAUAUCGUGAAAUCUUUGACGCUGCUCUUUCUUGGACGAGUUCUUUAUCUCGGCUUUGCGUUCCUGAAUUUGUUCCUAGUUAGCUUUCCUAGUAAUAUCUGUAUCGUAGCGCCAAUUGGCUUUUCGAGAUGGAAGCUGCGAUUGUACUUUAGGCCCGACUUAGCCCGAUCGGAGGAACCUUGACAGGCUGAAGAGCAAGUCGAAGGGUGUGUUCGACAUAAUUGAUGAUCGCCAAAACAGGAUAAUUAGCGUCCUCCAAAUAAAAUCGGGGAGUGAGGUGCUCGUUGUGACGAAAUCAUGAAGCGGGUGCCUCGGGAAUUCCAUGGUGCUAAAGUUAUUGGUUCAUGGAGGUAAUCAAACUUAAGGCUCCAGUUCUUGAUGUGUAUAAAUUGUCAUGUCCUAGUAACAAUUGAAGCUCGUCUUGUAGAGUAAAGUAUAUCGGUGAUGUAAUCAUGCUAGGCUUUUGUAAGAUUCUCUUCUUUAGGUCAGCCACACACAAGUUUACUUAAAGA
This is a long non-coding RNA of Musa acuminata AAA Group (dessert banana), 3720 nucleotides long. RefSeq lists it as uncharacterized. NCBI's taxonomy places the organism in Eukaryota, Viridiplantae, Streptophyta, Magnoliopsida, Zingiberales, Musaceae. The record is from RefSeq and is a predicted model, not a curated record. The transcript is spliced from 3 exons.